UGUUCUUGAGAACGUUCAUGUGCUCCCAGA
This 30-nucleotide non-coding RNA is filed under the name Homo sapiens (human). The record is from RNAcentral. Lineage: Eukaryota; Metazoa; Chordata; Mammalia; Primates; Hominidae.